UAUAAUUUUUGUUUAAGAAAUGACUGUAAUAUUUUUCUGUCUAUGAAGAAAUACCAUUAAAAAUUUGGUGCACACUGAAUAACGCGCGUAGCGGGUUAUCUAACAGUGUGAACCACAUUUUUUAUGUUAUUUCGAAUAGACAGAAAAAAUAUUACAGUCAUUUCUUAUAAUUUAAUUCUAAAUUCUAUUUUAAACCGUAGAAAACCAUGAAAAAAACGUUGAUGAGGUCACGGUCACAUGACUAAAUUAUGUCUAUGGGCUCAUAACAAAAUAACGUCAGCCAAUCAGAAGACGC
This 295-nucleotide long non-coding RNA is filed under the name Mytilus galloprovincialis (Mediterranean mussel). Lineage: Eukaryota; Metazoa; Mollusca; Bivalvia; Mytilida; Mytilidae. The record is from RNAcentral.